GGGAAGGGCGUGUCUGCUCGGCCCGCCCCUCCUGCUCCGGCCAUCACCUUACUCGGCGCCCUGGCCCGAGACCCGGACUGCGGGGAGCCCGCGCGCCACCGGUCCAGGCUAGGAAGCUGGCGUCCCCGGGGCCUGCUCCAGGCCAGGGCCUGGGAACGCUGUGUGGCCAGAGAGGCAGGGGUCCAGUGCUCUGCUGCUGAAGGAACCAGGCCAGAAGCCGGCUGGGAAGGGAAUGCGGUGGAGACAGGCUUGCACACCUGACAUGGCUGGAGUCCCUUGGGAUGGAAGGCUGCCCUGGUGGGUGGAGAGCUCCCUUGGGAGAGGUCUGGGGCUGACCACUGCAUGGUUCUGUGUGGGCCUGGGAGCCACCCGGCAAUGGACCAUUGUGUCCCCACAGCCCACAGGCCAGAUCCUGUCCACCUGGGUGUGGUGCUGACCUGCCUGGAACCUGCCGGGCCUGCUGGUCCAGCUGCACCCUCUGGGAUGCACGGAGCUGCUUGGCCUGGCCUGCAUGGGCUGGCGUUUGGGGCCAUGCUGGACAGCAGGGACUGCUAUGGCAUUCCUUGCCUGCUUCCUCUGUGCCCGUGUGAGAAUGCUCUGGAACCUGGGGAAGGCCCGGAGCAGGGUUGCUGUCCACCAGCUGGAGGGCCAGGUGCCUCACUGCCUGGCAGAUGUCACCGUGACCCUUUCAGGGCAAUGGGCAGCACAGCACGUGCCAGGCACCGCAUGGUGGCGGUUUUAUUUUACACCGCUUUGUCCUUGUAGUUCGGUGGCGCAGUGAGGGGCUGGGUGGGUGCACAGGUGUUUCCAUUCCCGUGUGCUGUAGACGUGUAUGUUCUAGGCUGAUGAAAAUAAACACAUUCCACAGCAUCCGCUGUCCCUGCGGCUGGCGUGCUUUUCCUCCAGGGCUCACCUCCCUGGCCUAGCCCUCCCGAGCUAACCUCUUUUCCUUCCCUGACAGGCAGAGGUGUGGGGGUGUCCCAGUCCCAGCCCUGCCUCUGGCCCUUGGCUCCUGCUGCCAGCAUUCUUACUGCCAGAGAGAGGGACCCCUCCAGGGUGCAGGCAGCAGUAGGCCACUGGGCCAGACACUUGAAGGAACCAGCUGGGGGUGUGCCUAUCCCAGCAGUGGCUCUGGCUGCUUCCUGCCUGACCCCUCUCCAGCUGGAGACCUCAAACUGCCCCUGGAGAGGUUAGAGACCUCAAACUGCCCCUGGAGAGGUUAGAGAGCUGCGGGGCUGGAGACAGGCAGCGGACCCCCUCCCCCCUGCCCUAGUCGUGGGGGUCAGAGUCCCUGGUGGGUUCAAACCCCAGCUCUGCCACCUACAAGCAGGUGACACUGGCAAGUCCCAUAGAAGAUCUAUGUCCUGUAAGUAGGGCUCCUUGUACAGGGUGUCUGGGGCAGAGAUAGUGCAUCUUAGAGGUCCUUGGGCUCCCUGGGGCUGUUGGGGACAGGUGGCUCCUCUGUAACAGUCACCAGACCGAGCUCUCUGGCACCACAGCUGCCGCAUACCCAGUCUCCCUGUCUCUCCAGUGACAGAAGACACCCAAGGUGCCUGGUAUCCAUUCCCUAUGGGCAGAGGGACUCCUGGCCAGGGCCCAGCUUCCCUGUGCCCUGUGACUCAGUUCCCCCGACAUGUGACUGGGGGCAGCUCCCAGGUCCUACACUCUGCUUCCUCUGCCUCUUCAAGCAGGGCCAGGACUCCCAGCCAACAGGGCUGUACCCUGGAGCACCACUGAGUGUCUCUGGAUGACCACUGGCUAUCUGCUGAGGUCCCCUGAGAAUUUCUGGGUUUAAUGUUGCAAGUCCCAUGUUGUGGGAGGCCCUCAGCACUAGGCAGCCCAGAAGGACAUGGUGGACACCACCCUUGUGGCUCAGACACUGACCAGCUUGUCUUUCCCGUGAGAGUUGCUCAGCCGGUAUGCUAAGUUGGUGACUCACCCGGAGGCUAAGAUCAGCGCAGAGGCCCAGGCUCCAGGAGCUGGGAGGAGCUGGGGUCUGUGUUUGCUGAGGGCCACGUCUUACACAGCAGCUUAUGGCAAGGGGAGACAGCUUGCAAGAAGGGUAGUCAUGCAUUUGGGGCUUUGGGAGAUUGCCCCAUGCCUCCUAUCCCUGGGGGGCAGGAGUCCCUCUGGCUCUCCCCAACUGAGUCCUGGGCACAGUAGGGCCUUCUACAUCCAUGUCCAUUCCCAUGGCAAGCAGGACCUGCACAGGCCUGGGCUGGCUGAGGGCUGUGCAGGGCCUGGGGUGUCUUAACUACAGUCUUGCAGUGGCUGGUGGUCAGAGGGAACCGGAAGGACAGCAGAUGGUGCCAGACCGUCUCUGUGUCCUCCAUGACUCAGGGAGGGCUCUGGGCCCGUGACUCUGCCUAUGCAUCUGCUUUGUGUCCUGAAAGCUGCAGGCAGGGAUAGGAGGGGGGGAAGUGGCUGACCAUAAGCCGGCCCGGGGCCUUUCAGUGUGAAGUUAAUGGCUGCACAGUAAAGCACAGGCUUCACUUGAAGGAUUGAGUCCGUACACGUGCACUCACGAGCCACCACUCUACAGUCAGAGCAGUGGUCAGGACCUCUCACUCGCCCAGCAGGGCGGAAUCUGCCCUGCAACUGCCUGCCUUCCCCAGUGCCUGGCUCCAGAGUUCUCUUUGUUGGAAAGUUUUACCUGAGAAUUCCUGUAUCUUUGGUAGAUACAGGACUAUUCAGGUUGUUUAUUUCUUUUUGAGUUUUAGUGGAUUGUGGCUUUCACAAUUUUGCUCACUCAGUCUAAUUUGUCUAAUAAAUUUAUUGGUAUAGA
Long non-coding RNA from Cavia porcellus (domestic guinea pig), 2785 nucleotides. RefSeq lists it as uncharacterized. The record is from RefSeq and is a predicted model, not a curated record. The transcript is spliced from 2 exons. NCBI's taxonomy places the organism in Eukaryota, Metazoa, Chordata, Mammalia, Rodentia, Caviidae.